UAAAACAGAGGAAGAACAAUUUAGAUUCGAAAAACUAAAGUUUACUACCCCCAGUAAACUUUUAUUAGGGGUAGUAAACUUGCAAAAAAAUAUUUUCAAUGCCAUAAUACACACUAAAACAGAGGAAGAACAACCUAGAUGCGAAAAAAUAAAGUUUAUUACCCUCAGUAAACUUAUACUGGGGGUAGUAAGCUUGCAAAACAAUAUCUUCAAGGUUCUAAGUACACAUUAAAACGGAGAAAAAUCAAUUUCGAUGCAAAAAAUAAAAUUUACUACCCCUAGUAAACUUUUACUGGGGGUAGUAAACUUGCGAAAAAAUAAAGUUUAUUACCCCCAGUAAACUUAUACUGGGGGUAGUAAGCUUGCAAAACAAUAUCUCCAAGGCCAUAAGUACACAUUAAAACGGAGAAAAAUCAACUUAGAUGCAAAAAAUAAAAUUUACUACCCCUAGUAAACUUUCACUGGGGGUAGUAAACAUCGUUUCACUCAAAACCUUCACAGAUCCGGCAUCUCUGCAGCAAUCCGCCGCCGAGGAGAUUGGCAGUCACCUCACUCCAAACCUUCACAGAUUCGGCCACACCUUCUCCAAUCUCUGCAGCAAUACGCCGCCGACGGCAACAUCUCCAUCCUCACCAAGUCUAUCGUUGAGGAGAUCGUUGUCUCCCUGCCUCCGUCAUCCGCCGCCGCUCUUUUUCUCGUCAGUGUAGGCCUUGUCUUCGUGAUCGGAUUCGAAUCCCAUGCCGACCGACAGCGACGAGGCUGCUAGACCUUACAGAGGAUGUGGUGGAGCGACUCAUCGGAGGCUGCUCGAUCUUGACCGUCGUCGUCGGCGAUGCCUGAUGAGAGAGAGAGAGAGAGAGAGAGAGAGAGAGAGAGAGAGAGAGAGAGAGAGAGAGAGAGAGAGAGAGAGAGAGAGAGAGAGAGAGAGAGAGAGAGU
Molecule: long non-coding RNA, 937 nt
Filed under: Fragaria vesca (wild strawberry)
Lineage: Eukaryota; Viridiplantae; Streptophyta; Magnoliopsida; Rosales; Rosaceae
Description: long non-coding RNA (FVES_LNC003003)
Source: RNAcentral